UACGGAGGGAGCUAGCGUUAUUCGGAAUUACUGGGCGUAAAGCGCACGUAGGCGGCUUUGUAAGUUAGAGGUGAAAGCCUGGAGCUCAACUCCAGAAUUGCCUUUAAGACUGCAUCGCUUGAAUCCAGGAGAGGUGAGUGGAAUUCCGAGUGUAGAGGUGAAAUUCGUAGAUAUUCGGAAGAACACCAGUGGCGAAGGCGGCUCACUGGACUGGUAUUGACGCUGAGGUGCGAAAGCGUGGGGGAGCAAACAGGAUUAGAUACCCUGGUAGUCCACGCCGUAAACGAUGAUAACUAGCUGUCGGGGCUCUUAGAGCUUCGGUGGCGCAGCUAACGCAUUAAGUUAUCCGCCUGGGGAGUACGGCCGCAAGGUUAAAACUCA
This 381-nucleotide ribosomal RNA is filed under the name uncultured bacterium. RNAcentral describes it as "bacterial SSU rRNA". It matches the Rfam family "Bacterial small subunit ribosomal RNA", at positions 524 to 903 of the family's 1533-position model. The record is from RNAcentral.